Molecule: ribosomal RNA, 390 nt
Filed under: Asterionella formosa
Lineage: Eukaryota; Bacillariophyta; Fragilariophyceae; Tabellariales; Tabellariaceae
Description: partial small subunit ribosomal RNA
Rfam family: Eukaryotic small subunit ribosomal RNA
Source: RNAcentral
GCUUGUCUCAAAGAUUAAGCCAUGCAUGUCUAAGUAUAAAUCUUUUACUUUGAAACUGCGAACGGCUCAUUAUAUCAGUUAUAGUUUAUUUGAUAGUCCCUUACUACUUGGAUAACCGUAGUAAUUCUAGAGCUAAUACAUGCGUCAAUACCCUUCUGGGGUAGUAUUUAUUAGAUUGAAACCAACCGCUUCGGCGUGAUGUGGUGAUUCAUGAUAACUAUACGAAUCGCACGGCCUUGCGCCGGCGAUGGUUCAUUCAAAUUUCUUCCCUAUCAACUUUCGAUGUUUGGGUAUUGGCCAAACAUGGUUGCAACGGGUAACGGAGGGUUAGGGCUCGACCCCGGAGAAGGAGCCUGAGAAACGGCUACUACAUCCAAGGAAGGCAGCAGG